Molecule: ribosomal RNA, 401 nt
Filed under: uncultured bacterium
Lineage: Bacteria
Description: bacterial SSU rRNA
Rfam family: Bacterial small subunit ribosomal RNA
Source: RNAcentral
UAACGCGUGAGCAACCUACCCUAUACAACGGGAUAACACAGAGAAAUCUGUGCGUAAUACGGUAUAAGACCACAAGGAAGGCAUCUUACCGGUGGUAAAAGAUUUUUAUCCGGUAUAGGAGGGGCUCGCGUCUCAUUAGAUAGUUGGUGAGGGUAACGGCCCACCAAGUCAACGAUGGGUAGCCGACCUGAGAGGGUGAACGGCCACACUGGAACUGAGAUACGGUCCAGACUCCUACGGGAGGCAGCAGUGGGGAAUAUUGGGCAAUGGAGGCAACUCUUCGACCCAGCAACGCCGUGUGAAUGAAGAAGGUCUUCGGAUUGUAAAGUUCUUUAAUUGGUGACGAAAGAAAUGACGGUAGCCAAAGAAUAAGCCACGACUAACUACGUGCCAGCCGCCGC